UAAGAUGGAAUGUGUAAGGACUGC
This 24-nucleotide non-coding RNA is filed under the name Arabidopsis thaliana (thale cress). The record is from RNAcentral. Lineage: Eukaryota; Viridiplantae; Streptophyta; Magnoliopsida; Brassicales; Brassicaceae.